GGAUCCAUGGUGUAGUGGUUAUCACGUUUGCUUUACAUGAUCGGCGUUGCGACACGUGGUUAGGUGCGCAAAAGGUCUCCGGUUCGAGCCCGGAUGGGUUCA
This is a non-coding RNA of Mycena maculata, 102 nucleotides long. The record is from the annotation of a GenBank genome assembly. Lineage: Eukaryota; Fungi; Basidiomycota; Agaricomycetes; Agaricales; Mycenaceae.